AAGGACGAGAGAAAAGCACGGUGCCCCUCGAGUCCUCUCCGCCCCCUCGGUCCUAACCCCCGCCCAGGCUCCAGGUCUUCCCCUUUGUGUGGCCUGGACUCUCUCCCAGCUACGACUUUGGUGGGAUCCAAAAGGAAGGAGGUGGCGGGGCCUACGGAAGAGGAUACCCAGGAGCCAGGGAGAAGGGCUAGAAAACGAAUAAUGUGACUCCAGAGGCGGAACCCCGACCCCCUCUAUUUCCCACCCCGGCUUCACCCGGAGACGAAAGCUGUGGGCAUCUUCAGUUUAACGGACUUCGCGGAAAAGGAGAGAAGGGGGGCGAGGGAAAUGGCAGUUUGUGUCCCAGGGGUUCUUCCCCUUCUUCUUGCCGCCUCCUAAAGACAAACAAACUCAACCCCCCACCCUCCGGGGUAUCAGGGAACUCGUGGGACCGUGAAAAAGUCGUUCCCAAAUCCGGCCGCCUGCGGACGUCGGACUUCCGCGGGGCCGGCGCCCGUUGGCGUCUGUAGCUCGGCGCAGCCACGCGGGGCUCCAGCGAGCGGGGUCCGCCACCCCUCGCGCCCUCCUGCGGCUUUCCCAGCGCUGGGCCAGUGCAGGCCGAGCCCUGCGUCCCUGCCUCGCUGGGUGGGGGUCCGGGGCGCGGCUGUCCACAGGGCCGCCUCCUCCUGCGGCCCGCGGGGAAGGGGCGCAUCCCACCCCGCUCUGCAGGCCGCCCUUCUGCCAGCUGGGAGGCGAGGGCACACGUCCUAAGGCUGCCCAAGGGGGAGAGGAAUCGCGCCGGUAGGAGAGCGCACGGGAACCAGGAACGCAAGGCGGGCACAGGGGAGCCGAAGGAGCCAGACAGGGCCCGGCCACGCGCCCUCCUCGCUCGGCUGCGCUCCGUGACGGGAACCCAGGCUCCCACGCACGGGGAAUGCCUAGAACGGAGCUAGAAUGGAGGCCCCUUUGUGUGACUAAAUUUGGCAAGAAUAUGGAUCUGAGCCAGUCUUUCCACGUGUGCUCCCAGCUCCCAGCUGAGAAGGCCAAGGGUUCUCUUCCGGAUGCAGCCUUUUUGAAAUUUAUUCUUGGCCAAAAGAGGAAGAUAGUUCAAGGAUUCUAUCUUGCUUUUGGGGGGCAAUGGAGAAACCCUGAAAACACUUAAGGAAAACCUGAGGCCUUCUAUAAGAAAAUAAACUCCCUGAAAGGGGAGGCAGGGCCAAGGAAUUUACUUAUUUUUAUAAAUCUCUUUCCUGGGUGGAUAUGUGCUCCAGGAAAGUACCUGAUUGACAAGAUCUACAUCCAAUGCCCAGAAAACACAUCCUACACAGGCACAGUGAAGCGUGGAGUUGAAGAAUUUUCCAGAAAACCAGUUUGGCUAUUAAGGGAACCUGUCGACACAGAGCAGAGCAAGAUAAGGCCAGGUUUCAGAAAGAAUAGCUGUUUACCAUCAAAGCAACUGGGUUCCACACAGACAUGGUAUAUUAUACACAAAGACGAAGGAUAUGGGUCCACUCUCCGUCAAGGAAUGUUAUAAAUCCACGUGGUGUCCCUGGGUGUCAGGCUUGGCCAGAACAUCUGUGGCUGGAGAAGCCAAUGUGGCUCAGGAGCUCCCUGCUGGCUGCACAUCUGAACGGCUUCAGGAGUACAAGUUUCCCCAUCAAAGGUUUGGAAUAAAUUACACUAAAAAAUUG
Molecule: long non-coding RNA, 1670 nt
Filed under: Homo sapiens (human)
Lineage: Eukaryota; Metazoa; Chordata; Mammalia; Primates; Hominidae
Description: PREDICTED lncRNA (TCONS_00202393)
Source: RNAcentral